Molecule: non-coding RNA, 46 nt
Filed under: Trichobilharzia regenti
Lineage: Eukaryota; Metazoa; Platyhelminthes; Trematoda; Strigeidida; Schistosomatidae
Source: RNAcentral
GUACUGAUGACGAGUCCAAAACCAGGACGAAACAGCUGUCCAGUAC